This 457-nucleotide ribosomal RNA is filed under the name Weissella confusa. RNAcentral describes it as "bacterial SSU rRNA". It matches the Rfam family "Bacterial small subunit ribosomal RNA", at positions 338 to 795 of the family's 1533-position model. Lineage: Bacteria; Bacillati; Bacillota; Bacilli; Lactobacillales; Lactobacillaceae. The record is from RNAcentral.
CCUACGGGAGGCUGCAGUGGGGAAUAUUGCGCAAUGGACGAAAGUCUGACGCAGCGACGCCGCGUGUGGGAUGAAGCCUUUCGGGGUGUAAACCACUGUUGCCCGGGACGAACAUCCCCUUUCGAGGGGACUGACGGUACCGGGUGAGGAAGCACCGGCUAACUCUGUGCCAGCAGCCGCGGUAAUACAGAGGGUGCGAGCGUUGUCCGGAAUCACUGGGCGUAAAGGGCGCGUAGGUGGCUUGGUAAGCGUGUGGUGAAAGUCCGGGGCUCAACCCCGGGUCUGCCGUGCGAACUGCCGGGCUCGAGCAUUGUAGAGGCAGGUGGAAUUCCGGGUGUAGCGGUGGAAUGCGUAGAGAUCCGGAAGAACACCAGUGGCGAAGGCGGCCUGCUGGGCAAUUGCUGACACUGAGGCGCGACAGCGUGGGGAGCAAACAGGAUUAGAUACCCCUGUAGUC